UACAUCAAAGAUCGCAAAACAAUCUGGGCAAAAAGAAUGUGACAAAACAGUGAACCUGUUGCACAUUCACACUAUCUACAAAACACUACACUUAUCUAACAAAGAAAUUGGCCUUAUCAUAUCUAAUCCUAAGAUUUGGAAGCUGUGAUUUAUCCAAGAAAUAAGCGCCUUUAGCUCCUGCUGGUAGUUGGCCAAAGUCGGUGUAUAGCACAGAUUCUCCACUGCUUGCUGCCAACUUUGCAAGGAAAUCUGAGACCAUGUUUGC
This 265-nucleotide long non-coding RNA is filed under the name Capsicum annuum. RNAcentral's name for it is "long non-coding RNA (CANN_LNC013082)". The record is from RNAcentral. Lineage: Eukaryota; Viridiplantae; Streptophyta; Magnoliopsida; Solanales; Solanaceae.